CAUCGAGACCGGCAGAGGGACAGGCCCUUUGAAGCCGGGGCAGCCCGCGGAUGCGAAAGCGUUCGCGUAGGUGCCAAAUCCUGCGGGGACCGUGGCGUCCACCGAAAGAU
RNAcentral lists this non-coding RNA (110 nucleotides) under Stenotrophomonas maltophilia. Its description in RNAcentral is "SAM riboswitch (S box leader)". It matches the Rfam family "SAM riboswitch aptamer (S box leader)". From Rfam's summary of the family: The SAM riboswitch is found upstream of a number of genes which code for proteins involved in methionine or cysteine biosynthesis in Gram-positive bacteria. The SAM riboswitch acts at the level of transcription termination control. The predicted structure consists of a complex stem-loop region followed by a single stem loop terminator region. The record is from RNAcentral. Lineage: Bacteria; Pseudomonadati; Pseudomonadota; Gammaproteobacteria; Lysobacterales; Lysobacteraceae.